UCCCGCCCCUUUUCACAGCCCCUCACAACAGAAUUACGCACACACAAACUCUAAUGUGACCGCAGCUUAAGUGUGCAUCUAGAGAUCUUGCAUCAACCAAUUAAUCAACGUUUUUAAUAGAACCUUAUAACAACGGUGAACUCCCCAAUGUACUUUACAACAUUAAAACAAAAUUACCCAUUAGUGAAGUAUUAAUAAGGUAAUUUUGAUAGGAUCACUUGCUUAUGAUUGACCAUAGCUUGUCUCGUAUUAACAAUCACAUGACCUACCAAUCAGAUGAAUCCAAACACACAAAUAAAGACACAGUCUAAACGAGUGUCAAUAAAUCAACAAAACAAUAAAACAGCAUUUUGCACUACUAAAUAUCAAAAUCCUGACUGGACGACUAUCAAUGUUUGAUGAGGACACGGUUGUUGUGCACUUUGGCUUUCUGGAAUAUAUGGGACCGGCUGUCUGUUCACCCCAGGUAAAAGCCUAGAGUUAGGAUUAGGGUGUGUCCUGUAAGGUAGUGGUGGGUGGGACACAGGGCACAUCCUAAGUUGCAAAAAAAAAAAAAAGCAAAAUACUUUUUGAAGUUUUUUUGCUUUACUAUGCAUUAAAUUAAAAACGUGGCUGAUUGGCCUUUAUGUCUAAUUGGUUCCUAGCUCGGGUGAAACACUCUGGGUGGAACUGACCAGCUACGGGCCCAUUGCACAGUCCGCUAUAGUGUGCCUCCAGAGAUCUUGCAUCAAUCAUACAAUCAAAUUUUUUUGAUUGUAUUCUGCUGUAUCGCCUCAUUACAGCUAACGUGAUCCCGCCUCUCGGUGAGCGCACUGUUUAUAUGGAAAUGAACUGAGGUGAGUCGGCUAAUAUUGCACUCGCCACCCGAGACAUGGCAUCAAACAACAAGCUUCAUCAUAGAGUUACUUACUUUUUCUGCGCUUUAGAUUGACGGCACGCUACAUGAGUGAAGAAGCACUUCGGAUGGUACUGGACAGCGACGGAUAAUUUACUUUCUCCUCAGAAGAAGAGUGCGACUGAUGACCAACGCAAACAUUUUGAAGAAUGUUUAGACCCAGCAGAGGAUAAAAUCCCUGUGGAAUGUGAAAACAACAGCGGUAAAGGACCAGUGGCAAAGAAAGCGAAAGCAAUGAAGUUGCCCACUCAGUCAUGGAAAACAGAGACUGAUGCUGCAUGACUCCACAGGCUCUGAGAUUCCUUCCUGUACAUGAACCUGGACAACAGCUAAGACCAUGUGAUGCUCAUUUCAAAAUGCUUUUUUUGUUUCAAAUCAAAUAAUUUGUCAAUAAACCCAUUUCAUCAAUUAUAAA
Non-coding RNA from Danio rerio (zebrafish), 1310 nucleotides. Lineage: Eukaryota; Metazoa; Chordata; Actinopteri; Cypriniformes; Danionidae. The record is from RefSeq and is a predicted model, not a curated record.